RNAcentral lists this non-coding RNA (186 nucleotides) under Desulfobulbus propionicus. The record is from RNAcentral. RNAcentral also lists the same sequence under 1 other name. Lineage: Bacteria; Pseudomonadati; Thermodesulfobacteriota; Desulfobulbia; Desulfobulbales; Desulfobulbaceae.
UGUUUGUACAAAAAAAUCGGUGCCAUUUUUUAUGGCCUAACAGGGAAAACGGUGCAAGUCCGUUGCGGUCCGGCCGCUGUAAUCGGGGACGAAAUCCGUAGCAUGUCACUGAUCGAUUUGAUCGGGAAGACGCGGAGAGUAGGCUGAUCCGAAAGCCAGAAGACCUGCCGAUUUUUUGAUCAGCGU